This 387-nucleotide ribosomal RNA is filed under the name uncultured bacterium. Its description in RNAcentral is "bacterial SSU rRNA". It matches the Rfam family "Bacterial small subunit ribosomal RNA", at positions 30 to 416 of the family's 1533-position model. The record is from RNAcentral.
AUUGAACGCUGGCGGCAUGCCUUACACAUGCAAGUCGAACGGCAGCACGGGAGCAAUCCUGGUGGCGAGUGGCGAACGGGUGAGUAAUAUAUCGGAACGUGCCCAGUCGUGGGGAUAACGUAGCGAAAGCUACGCUAAUACCGCAUACGAUCUAUGGAUGAAAGCGGGGGAUCGCAAGACCUCGCGCGAUUGGAGCGGCCGAUAUCAGAUUAGGUAGUUGGUGAGGUAAAGGGCUCACCCAAGCCGACGAUCUGUAGCUGGUCUGAGAGGACGACCAGCCACACUGGGACUGAGACACGGCCCAGACUCCUACGGAGGCAGCAGUGGGGAAUUUUUGGACAAUGGGCGAAAGCCUGAUCCAGCAAUGCCGCGUGCAGGAUGAAGGCC